RNAcentral lists this ribosomal RNA (301 nucleotides) under uncultured bacterium. RNAcentral's name for it is "partial 16S ribosomal RNA". It matches the Rfam family "Bacterial small subunit ribosomal RNA", at positions 509 to 807 of the family's 1533-position model. The record is from RNAcentral.
CAGUCGCCGCGGUAAUACGAAGGGGGCUAGCGUUGCUCGGAAUGACUGGGCGUAAAGGGCGCGUAGGCGGCGGCCAAAGUCAGGCGUGAAAUUCCCGGGCUCAACCUGGGGGCUGCGUUUGAUACUUGGUUGCUUGAGUGGGGAAGAGGGUCGUGGAAUUCCCAGUGUAGAGGCGAAAUUCGUAGAUAUUGGGAAGAACACCGGUGGCGAAGGCGGCUCACUGGACCGACACUGACGCUGAGGCGCGAAAGCGUGGGGAGCAAACAGGAUUAGAUACCCCCGUAGUCCCUGUCUCUUAUAC